UAAUAAAUAGCAGGAAAGAUAGAAUACUUGAUAAUUGUGGCAUUUGAAAAUUGAGAAUGAAGGCAUCAUAGAUGCUAUUACAUACUUGAUCAAUUGUAGAUUAAGUAUAUCGGCACCAGUGGGUGCUAAAGCUACGCGGAUAGGAUGCAAAUUAAAGGUAAAUUAGAAGAAAUCAAGAUAAGGUUUAGGUAAAAUAAAUGGACACU
Molecule: long non-coding RNA, 206 nt
Filed under: Elaeis guineensis (African oil palm)
Lineage: Eukaryota; Viridiplantae; Streptophyta; Magnoliopsida; Arecales; Arecaceae
Description: long non-coding RNA (EGUI_LNC009760)
Source: RNAcentral